AACAUUGGAAAACAAAAUCAAUAUGUCCAAAAAAAAAUCACGAAAAAGAUCAAGCAGCCAUGAAAACAAACAUACAUAGAUUGCCGGAGAGAAAUUCAAGCAAAAUCAACCCGAAAAUAAUAAAAUAAUGUAAAAAUUAUCCAAAAUAACAAUAGCGAUACUUCAAAUUUAUUUCCACAAAACACACAAAAUAAUGGUAAAGCGAAAAGAAGAAGAAUUCACCGGGGUUUAAGUUUUUCCGGUAACUUGGUCAUGGUUUCCGGCAAAAUCUGAAAAUAAACAGAAAAAAAUAAUCGCAGUCAAAAGGGAAUAGAUCACGCUUCAAAGGAUUUCACCGGAGCAACACCGAAGAGGUAUUUUCGGCCAGAUCUACCCGUUUUUCGGCGAGCAGUGACGGUAGUAGCAGUGUUGCGUUGAACCUCGAAUCUCGCCGGUCACAACCUCCAGCGAGGCAGCGGCGGGAGAUGACAGAAAGAGAGGAAGCUGGGGCGGCAGAUGGUUUUUGUUGGUGGCUGAAACUCGUCGGCCAUCAACUCCGGCAAGCCACGAAGAAAGUAAAUUAAUGGGGAAUUUGCAACCGGCGGUGAGAAAAAGGGAAAGGAGGUGGCGCUGGUUGGUGGCUGGAAAGAGAGGAGAGCAGAUGAGAGGGAGAGAGAGAAGCAGAUUUUAUGCGCGUAUUUGUGCGAACUCGAAAAUAAGUCACAAAAUUAAAAAAAAUUAUUAAAAUAGGUCAUUUAUUUAAAAAAUUAUCAAAAUAUACAAAUAUAAUAAAUUAUUAUUUUAUUUUUUUAAUAGUCAACAUAAUUUAUAAAAUAUAAUAAUUUAUUAUAUCAAAUGAUAUAGUUUAUAAUAAUUUAUUACAUUUUAUAAACAAUGUUUGUAAAACAUAAUAAUUUAUUACAAACUACAAACAAUGUUUGUAAGUUAUAAUAAAUUAUUACAACUUACAUCUUUAUAUCUACCCACAUCACAUCAUUUUUACUUUUUCCAUUUUUAAAUUUAACCCAACCCAACCCACCCCACAUAGAAUCCUCCCACCCCACCCUACAUAAAAUCCUUCCACCCCACCUAUUAAUAAUUUUACAAAUUAGAACCUUAUUAUUACAAUUCAAAAAUUGUAACUAUUUAUUACAUUUUUAAUUCAAAAAAAAAAUUAAAAAAUUAUUGUUUCAUUUUGUUAAUUCAAGUACUACUUAACCCACUUUUUUGACUUUUUCUCAUAAAUAGUACUAAAAAAUUACUUUUUAUAAAUAAAUUUUAAAAAAAAAAAACAUAAAGAUUUCAUCAUUGCCCAAAGUUAUUUAUUGUAUUACACAUUUGUAUACAUAAUAUCCGUCUUUUUAUUUGCGGAGCCCUCGAAAAUCAACGAAAAAUUUCUUCAUCAGCCAAUUAAAUUAAUACUGAAUAUAGAUCAAAUACGAGUAAUUAAAUAAAAAAAAUAAAAGAUAAAAAUAAAAUAUGUCUUAUGUCUUUUGUCCUGGGGAGAUAUCAAAGAUUAACCGAGAAGUUUUACCAUUAUUCAAUUAAUUUAUUAAUAUCCUAGAAUAAAAUAAAAUCGAAACAUUCAAUUGAAAUUGUCUAACUUGGACCCAAAUUAAAAAAUGCAAUUUCUAAAAAAUAAACAAAUUGUAACAGUGAAUCAAAACCAGUAUAAAACAAAGCAACAAUGAACAAAGAUUACUAAAUAAUCAUAUGGAGUCACUGAAAAGUUUUUUUUUUUUUUUUUAAAUAAUGAAUCAUCAAAUGCACAAGAUUUAAUCUUGAAUAAACAUCAAUUGUGAGGAGUAAACAUUGGAAAACAAAAUCAAUAUGUCCAAAAAAAAAUCACGAAAAAGAUCAAGCAGCCAUGAAAACAAACAUACAUAGAUUGCCGGAGAGAAAUUCAAGCAAAAUCAACCCGAAAAUAAUAAAAUAAUGUAAAAAUUAUCCAAAAUAACAAUAGCGAUACUUCAAAUUUAUUUCCACAAAACACACAAAAUAAUGGUAAAGCGAAAAGAAGAAGAAUUCACCGGGGUUUAAGUUUUUCCGGUAACUUGGUCAUGGUUUCCGGCAAAAUCUGAAAAUAAACAGAAAAAAAUAAUCGCAGUCAAAAGGGAAUAGAUCACGCUUCAAAGGAUUUCACCGGAGCAACACCGAAGAGGUAUUUUCGGCCAGAUCUACCCGUUUUUCGGCGAGCAGUGACGGUAGUAGCAGUGUUGCGUUGAACCUCGAAUCUCGCCGGUCACAACCUCCAGCGAGGCAGCGGCGGGAGAUGACAGAAAGAGAGGAAGCUGGGGCGGCAGAUGGUUUUUGUUGGUGGCUGAAACUCGUCGGCCAUCAACUCCGGCAAGCCACGAAGAAAGUAAAUUAAUGGGGAAUUUGCAACCGGCGGUGAGAAAAAGGGAAAGGAGGUGGCGCUGGUUGGUGGCUGGAAAGAGAGGAGAGCAGAUGAGAGGGAGAGAGAGAAGCAGAUUUUAUGCGCGUAUUUGUGCGAACUCGAAAAUAAGUCACAAAAUUAAAAAAA
RNAcentral lists this long non-coding RNA (2503 nucleotides) under Capsicum annuum. RNAcentral describes it as "long non-coding RNA (CANN_LNC019862)". The record is from RNAcentral. Lineage: Eukaryota; Viridiplantae; Streptophyta; Magnoliopsida; Solanales; Solanaceae.